This is a ribosomal RNA of Cricetulus griseus (Chinese hamster), 108 nucleotides long. NCBI's taxonomy places the organism in Eukaryota, Metazoa, Chordata, Mammalia, Rodentia, Cricetidae. The record is from Ensembl.
GUCUAUGUUCAUAUCAACUUCAACAUGUCCGAUCUCGUCUCAUCUCAGAAGCUAAGCAGAGUCGGGCCUGGUUAGUACUUAGAUGGGAGGAAAUAAAUUGCUUUGAUC